GCUGGGCGUGGUGGUGCAUGCCUGUAGUCCCAGCUACUCAGGAGGCUGAGGCAGGAGAAUUGCUUGAACCCGGGAGGUGGAGGUUGCAGUGAGCUGAGAUGGUGCCACUGCACUCCAGCCUGGGCAACAGAGUGAGACUCUGUCUCAA
Molecule: non-coding RNA, 148 nt
Filed under: Pan troglodytes (chimpanzee)
Lineage: Eukaryota; Metazoa; Chordata; Mammalia; Primates; Hominidae
Source: Rfam by way of RNAcentral